ACACUGGUGGUGAUGUAUAAAACUAGU
RNAcentral lists this non-coding RNA (27 nucleotides) under Rattus norvegicus (Norway rat). The record is from RNAcentral. Lineage: Eukaryota; Metazoa; Chordata; Mammalia; Rodentia; Muridae.